This 458-nucleotide ribosomal RNA is filed under the name uncultured bacterium. RNAcentral's name for it is "bacterial SSU rRNA". It matches the Rfam family "Bacterial small subunit ribosomal RNA", at positions 340 to 789 of the family's 1533-position model. The record is from RNAcentral.
UACGGAAGGCAGCAGUGGGGAAUAUUGCACAAUGGGCGAAAGCCUGAUGCAGCUAUGCCGCGUGUAUGAAGAAGGCCUUAGGGUUGUAAAGUACUUUCAUCGGGGAGGAAAAAACAAAACUAAUAAUUUUAUUUCUUGACGUUACCCGAAAAAGAAGCACCGGCUAACUCCGUGCCAGCAGCCGCGGUAAUACGGAGGGUGCUAGCGUUAAUCAGAAUUACUGGGCGUAAAGAGCACGUAGGUGGUUUUUUUAAGUCAGAUGUGAAUCCCUGGGCUUAACCUGGAACUGCAUUUUGAAACUGAAAUACUAGAGUAUCGUAGAGGGAGGUAGAAUUCUAGGUGUAGCGGUGAAAUGCGUAGAUAUCUGGAGGAAUACCUGUGGCGAAAGCGGCCUCCUAAACGAAUACUGACACUGAGGUGCGAAAGCGUGGGGAGCAAACGAGGGAUUAGAUACCCGU